AAAGAAAAGAAAGAGGAAAAGAUGGAGAUGGGAUAAUCAUUCAGUGCAUUCUUUUUUUACUCUUCUUCUUCUCCACUGUCUAAGUUUUCUUCUCUCAUUUCUCAUCUCUUUUUGGUUUAUCAACUUCAGACUUGGGUUGAGGAAGAGUUUGAGAAGGAUUAUAAGCAACAGUUCUGCACUUUGGAGGUUGAAGAAGACAGGAAACACAAACUUAAGUCAUUUAUCUUCACAGAUUGAAUCCACACCGACAUCCUCUGGUUUUUUAGUCUGUUUGAACUGCUCAAGAGAAAAUAAAAGACUUAAAAGAAAUAGACUGAGUCUACACCAUGGAAUUAACAUAAGGUAGAGAUCGAGCUCCCGAUGCCUGAUAAACUACCUUAGUCUGCUGAAAGCUCUAAGAUCAUUAGCCAGUACAUGGGUGGAGUUGUACAUAGUCUAUUUUGUUAUGUGUUUAUUUGUCUUUGAAGGAUUUAGAUACUUUACAAUUUAUGUAAGCUCUGCGUGUUGUGAUUGUAUAAACUUUUGUUGGAUAUCCUUCUACUUAGGAUGUCUUAAUCAGGUUUAUUUGCUAAACCAACUGUUUCAGGGCUACAUUUCCAUGUAUGUCUAUGGGUUGUUUAGGUUC
Long non-coding RNA from Cucumis sativus (cucumber), 625 nucleotides. RefSeq lists it as uncharacterized. Lineage: Eukaryota; Viridiplantae; Streptophyta; Magnoliopsida; Cucurbitales; Cucurbitaceae. The transcript is spliced from 3 exons. The record is from RefSeq and is a predicted model, not a curated record.